RNAcentral lists this long non-coding RNA (463 nucleotides) under Salmo salar (Atlantic salmon). Its description in RNAcentral is "lncRNA (ENSSSAG00000093266.1, ENSSSAG00020075416.1)". Lineage: Eukaryota; Metazoa; Chordata; Actinopteri; Salmoniformes; Salmonidae. The record is from RNAcentral.
AUUUCCUAGCAAGGCUAUAAGCAUGUCAGCCCAGCCUGCUCAGUUCAUUGGAUCCAAUUGUUCUAAAAACAUUUUAAAAUUCAUUUGGUAGUGAGUUAGCAUAGCUAGAAUCGGACGGGGCCUUCCCUCUGCUCUUCCACCGAAACGAAUGAAUGCUGCAAUGGAUAGCUGCUGUUUUACGGGCUCCUGGCCGACGUGUAGGCACCCUGACGAAACUAUGUCGGUGAAUAAAUAAUCAGCCUCUACCCUCCGUUCUACUAAUGUAUAAUCACUGGAAAACAAACUGGAUGAGCUCUAUUCGAGACUAUCCUAUCAACGGGACCUGAAGAACUGUAACAUCCUAUGUUUCUCGGAGUCGUAGCUGAACAAGGACAUUAAUCAUAUCUAGCUGGUUUUUCUAUGCAACCUCAAGCCCGUACGGCAGCAUCGGGGAGGUGUCACGUUUCAGGAGAGGACCCAGAUG